RNAcentral lists this long non-coding RNA (951 nucleotides) under Equus caballus (horse). RNAcentral's name for it is "lncRNA (ENSECAG00000050386.1)". The record is from RNAcentral. Lineage: Eukaryota; Metazoa; Chordata; Mammalia; Perissodactyla; Equidae.
AACCGGUUGGCCAUCAAGAUGGCUCACUCUCGUGGCUGACAGUCGAUUCUGGCUACUGGGCGAGAGCUCAGCUGUGGCUGUCAGGGCUCACACAUGGCUUCCCCAUGUGACUGGCAACCUGGGACCCAAGCGUGGGAGUUGGGUUCCAAGGGCGAGUGUCCGCAAAGCAAACUUUCCAAGAGACCCACUCGUUGAAGCUCCAAGGCUUCUUACAAUCUACGGGAAUGACUACUGGGAGAUUUUAAAAGAUGAGGAAACCAAGUCACGGACAGGUGAAGUAACUUGGCCCGGCCCUUUAACUCCAAGUCCAGGACUCCUUGCCUUCAUGGUUUGUAAAUCAGGAGCUGGAGUGCUGCCGUCUGUUGAAGCCCUGCUCGCCGUUCCCAGCAUGAGGCUGGGUCCCCAGAAGAGGCUGAACCUAUGCUUGCUAAUGAAACAAAGGUCUUUUCUUUGAGAACUCACCAAAAGAAAGGGUUGCUUGGGUCUAUCUCUCUGGUGUACUUCACAGGACUUGAGAAAUGCAAACACAUUUUCAUUUACUAAGUAUGCAGGACAGGCAGACUCCCCCUGAACAGCCAUCUUUGAGAAGAGAGGUGUAAACCGGAGCACCCUGGAGCAGCUCCCUGCACCCUCCUUUGCUGCAGACACGGGUUGGCAUCCACGCUUGGCAGGGACACAGUGUAUCUACGACUGUGUGGUCACAGAGGAGGAUCUUGAGAGCUGAGCGAGCCCAGAUGCAUCUCUUCCACCAUCAAAAUGUAGAUCACCCCCAACCCAUCCUGUCUGACCAUGUCGCUGCUCAUCCCAAAACACCAACUAAACACCCCUGAACACACCCUUCUGCUGAGAGACUGGGCAAGAGAAAGCCAAAUAUGGUAUUGACUCAUUCAUCUUUCGUCUGCUUUACGUCUGAUUUUCCACACAUGGGGCAAUCCCUGUGACAGAGGACGA